CCAACCCAUACAAACUCAAACCCCCACGAAAACCCCUCUCUCAUCUCCGCUUCUUCCUCGCCGCCGAAACCCUAACCUAGCCGCUCGUCGCCGCCGCCGCCGCCCCAGCCGCCAUGUCGAACCCCAAGGGUUCGAAAAUGCUCCAGUUCGUCAACUACCGGAUGCGCGUGACCAUCCAGGACGGCCGCCAACUCGUGGGGAAGUUCAUGGCCUUCGAUCGCCACAUGAACCUCGUCCUCGGCGACUGCGAGGAGUUCCGCAAGCUCCCGCCCUCAAAAUCUUCCAAGACCACAGGCGAGCGCGAGGAGCGGAGGACGCUCGGCCUGCUCCUUCUCCGUGGCGAGGAGGUCGUCUCCAUGACCGUCGAGGGCCNNNNNNNNNNNNNNNNNNNNNNNNNNNNNNNNNNNNNNNNNNNNNNNNNNNNNNNNNNNNNNNNNNNNNNNNNNNNNNNNNNNNNNNNNNNNNNNNNNNNCCGAAAUAUCUAGUCAUGCAAUCUGGUACACGGAUACAAGGAGUAGUAUCACACAACUCCUAUACUAACCCGUCACCUGUAUCACAUCCGUCAACACACAACCAGAAUCUCGGACCUUCAUCUAUAACAGACCCUCGUGAUCACAACGAUACAAAGUAUGGCAGUACUCCCGAACAAUCUGCACCAGUACUGGGGACAUCGGGGUUAUCUCGCCACUACUAGUAUUGAAGCAAUUACGAAGAUCCUUCGUUCUGAGAUACUAAGAAAUCUAAAUGAUAACGAUGUGCUCGAGAAUCCUCUGGAGCUCAACUCCCCGGAAGAAAAUCAAGUCAGACAGGAGGCACCAAGACAGAACUCCGUCACAUCGGCAUCAUAUAGAUUCCAAGAAUAUCCGCGUGAUCCUAAAAAAAAUUUGAGUGAGAAGAGGAGUAGAAUUAAAAUAUUACGUCAAGAUUCCUCACCAAAGCAUAGAAGAGGAGAAAAAAAGGAUCCUACUCUCCGAUAUAUAACUAAACUCAAAGUAGUUUUUCACUAGACUCGACUCGGCCAAGUUCGAUCAAUCAAGGGGGCUCCUAGGUCGGUACGGCUUUGAUACCAACUUGUCACGCCCAAGAUGCGACCCUAUCCUCAAUUUGGCACGAGGGCCUCGUCAGGGAUAGAAGCGCAUCUCGUCGUGUCGCAAGAAUGGAUAUCGCUACAAGUACAUGUACUGAAAAGAAGAGAUAUAUAUUGAGUUGGCUUACACUCGCCACAAGCUACAUCAGAGUCACUUCAGUACAUUACAUAAUCAUCAAGAGUAAGAGCAGGGUCCGACUACGGACGAAAACAAACGAGAAAAAUAAGAACGACGUCCAUCCUUGCUAUUCCAGGCUGCCGGCCUGGAACCCAUCCUAGAUCGAUGAAGAAGAAGAAGAAGCAACUCCAAAUGAACAAUCAACGCGCUCGCGUCAAGUACCCUUUACCUAUACCUGCAACUGGUGUUGUAGUAAUCUGUGAGCCACAGGGGACUCAGCAAUCUCAUUUUCGAAGGUAUCAAGACUAGCAAAGCUUAAUGGGUGAGGUAUAGUUAAGUGGUGAGGUUGCAGCGGCGGCUAAGCAUAUAUUUGGUGGCUAACUUACGAGUUCAAGAAAUAAGAGGGGGAAGAUCUACGCAUAACGGACGUGAACUACUGAUGAUCAAAUGAAUGAUCCUGAACACCUACCUACGUCAGACAUAACCCCACCGUGUCCUCGAUCGGAGAAGGAACUCACGAAAGAGACAGUCACGGUUACGCACACAGUUGGCAAGUUUUAAUUAAAUUAACUUCAAGUUAUCUAGAACCAGUGUUAAACAAAGUUUCCACGUUGCCACAUAACCGCGGGCACGGCUUUCCGAAAGAUUUAACCCUGCAGGGGUGCUCCAACUAGUCCAUCACAAAUUACCACAAGCCGCAUAGAAAUCCUUAAUCACGAAGCUCGCGAUCUCGUCGGAUUCCCUAGUGGAAAACCUCAACUCUGAGAUUACCCAAAGCAUCACCGGAAUCCCGAUGCACAAGAUAUCUCGUCAAAGGUAAAACUAAUCCAGCAAGGCCGCCCGACGUGUCGGCGAUCCCGAUAGGAGCCGCGUAUCUCGUUCUCAGCACACGACGGAUAAGCACAGCGUACGGUGGCCUGAUAGAAAUCUCCCGAGUUGCCCCGGGUUGGCCCCGCAAACGGCUCUAGUUUUGGACCAACACUCAUGAGGAGCACUGGCCCGGGGGUUGAUUAAAUUAGUCCGCGGGUGCAGGCGGGUCCCUAUGCAUUUUUAUUAGGUUAUUAGGCAAAAUGUAGUACCAAAGUUGGGCCUUGCCAGACCAGCUUUAAUCUAAAACGAAUUAUCAAGGGGGUCCCCAUAACAACCCUGAUCAUGUUAGGAGCGCUCAUUUAUGGAACAUAACACCGGUAGCCGAAAACUAAGGGGGCAAAGGUGGAACGAAACACCAGGCUAGAAAGGCCGAGCCUUCCACCUUUUACCAAGUAUAUAGGUGCAUUAAAUUAAAUAUCAUUAAGUAUGGUGAUAAGACAAGGAACCCAUGCUUUCACAUGGAAGCAACUGCACCUGCAACUAGCAACGCUAUCAACACGGUUGAGCAAGCGGUAACAUAGCCAAUCAGUGGUUUGCUAGGUCGAUCAGGUUGAAGGUUUCAUGGCAUUGUUGAGAGGCUGAUAAUUAACAGGUGGUAGGCAACGAGACAUAAUCGAUAGAAGCGGUAAAACUAGCAUGGCAAUGAUAGUAAUGGUAUCUGGGGAAAUGAUCAUCUUGCCUGAGAUCCCGCUUGGAAGAAGAAUGCCUCCGUGAAGCAGACGAACCGACGUAGUCGAACGGGUCCUCACAAUCCGACACGCUGCGGAACUCUAUCGAGACGAAGCAAACCGGAAACACAAGUCAACACACGAAAUUCACCACACGAUGCACAACACAUAUGAUGCAUGAGCUACUGAAAACAUGCAAGUCACGGCAUGACAAUCCACACAAUCAAACACUACACAUUAAGUGAAGUUCAAUAUGCAACGAGUUGCAUAUUGACGAAACUCCACGUUAAUUAUUUAGUUCACUCCGGUUAUUUACACGGCAAUAUUAAUGUUGUCAAACAUGCAAGAGGUGAAGCAGAAAUUAAACUACCUAGACAACACAGCAACAAAAUAUAAAAAAUUCCAGACAUAGAAAUAUUUCAGCUCCUCCAAAUCAGCACUAUUUCUAGCAACUUGAGGGCAAUCAAAACACACCUAAACAUGCAUUUCUAUUGCAACUAAAAAUACCAGGGGCUAGCCUAAACACCCAAGAACAACUCCCUAGUUGACAACUAAUUCAAACAAGGCACGGAAUAAAUCCUACGAAUUCAUCAAAAGGGCAACUUAGCAAAAUAUCUCGCGAACUAACUUGCUCUAAUGCUAAAACUAAUUGCACAGAAAAAUCCCUUGGACUUUUCUACCUCAGAAACAUAUAAAAUACGUGGGGUUGCAACACAAAAUAAAGCCACACAUUAAUGCGGGAAAAUAAUCUAUGCACGGGAAAAUAAACUACCACAAAACACUACGCGCAAAAAUACCAACGGCUACUCUAAAAUACAUGCAAAAAUGAUUCCUAAAACAUGGGCAUUUAAUCUACGGUAUACGGGCAGUCCAGACCACAAGAAAAAAAUACGGGACGAAACAAUAUAAGACAACACGUUAAACUAGGCGUUCGGCACGUAAAGCUACAUCAAAUAAUUAUGCAAGUCAUGAAAUCGUGUUCUACUCGCAAAACUACCCCAAAACCAUAUAAAAUACGCCUCGUACCGACUUACGGAUAAUAAUCUACGGGUGAAAGAAAUUAACUAAUAUUCCUAAAAUUAACUAAACCGCAGGGAAAUAAAAUAGCUAAAAUACUACGGGCCGAAUGUAAGCAUAAUGGGCCUAACAGAGGCGCGCAACAUAAUUUAACAAUGCGUUGUGCAAUAAAAAACAGAGUGCUCGGGUGUUGGCUCACUUUGGGCCGGCCCGUUUUGGUGGAGAGGAAGACCGGCUCGGGAUCCAGCUGGGCCACGUGGGGAGGCAGCGCUGGGCCGCUGCGGCGCGGAUGCUGGGCCGGCGCGGGGGCGGAGCUGGGCCGAGGCGGUGGCUACUGGGCCACGGCGUGUUGGGCCAGCUCGGCCUGGGCGAGGCAGAGCAGCUGGGCCGCGUGGGAGGCCAGCCCAGGGCGCUCAGGCGGUCAACGUGAGCGGCGCAUCGUGCCCAUCCCGAUCGGGACGAAGAACACAGGCGACGGCGGCGGUUCUCGAGGUCCCGGCCACGAUGUGUCGGAGCAGGGGAGCGUAGGGACAAGGCGGAGGGACCCGAGGGAGCCGAGGGGCGGCGGGAUCCGACGGGAUCCGGCCCGUGGAGGCGGCAGGAGGGGGAUCCGGCGACGACAGAGCUCGAGGUCGGGGACGCAAACUCCGGCGGCGCUGAGGUGGGGUCCAACCGGGAUCUGACGGGGGAGGCGAGGGAGCUUCACGGCAGCGGGGCUGGCGACUCCGGCGGCGGGUGCGCGGGCAGGCAGGGCAGACUCUGGCGAGGCCCUCCGGUGGAGCUCGUGCGGGGCUCGGGAGGCGGCCAGGGAGACGCCGGGCGGCGGCGGAUGGGCCUCGCCUGGGCCUGAUCUGGGCUUGGCGGGCCCGUGACGGCUGGGGGAGGAGAGAGAGGUGGGGAAGGCUAGGGUUUGGCACGGAACUCGAUGCACGGGAGAGGGGGUUGUCUAAAAUUAGCACGGGGUCUAUAUAUAGACAUAUGGGGGGGCUAGGUUACCCGAAAUUUCGUUCCGGAUCCAACUGUGCGGUCGGAUUCGGACGAUUCCGAACGCGGGAAUGGGUACGCGGCCGUGUAGAGGGGAUAUCCGGAGACGAGAGGGAAAACGGGCGGCGCGGCAACGAAUUUUAAAACACCGACAGACGUCCGACGGUAGACCGAAUACGGUGCCGCUACGGUCGACCGUUCGGGUACCAAACAAACUCCGAUCGCGACGAAAUUUGACAGGCGGCCUACCUAUAUAUAAAUAAAACCGCACGACAAAUUCCAGCUCAAUUGGAGAAAUUUUUAUACACGCUUUAAAAAACAGAGUUACGACGGUGCCGCGGGCGCGGGCGUGUGCAGUCAGGCUCGGAACGAACAACGACGAACGCGAAGAGAAGCGGCAACUAAUAACGGAUGCAAGUUUUGAAAACUGGCGGCAACGGAGAUGCCGAUGCAAUGCAGAUGAUGUGCAGGAUGCGAUGAUGAUGCGACAAAUAAAGAUAGACACACUAUGAAAACGGAAAGAAGGGGGAAUCUUCUGGAACGUCGGCAUCGGGCUGUCACACUUUGUCUAGCCCACCAGGGGUUGGUCCAACUCUUAUCAUAGCCCACAAGGCUCUUGGGUCGUCACACCCCUCCUGGUGGUCCCCCGGCACCCUCUCGACACUCCCGACACACUACCUUUGAGCCCGAAACCUUUCUGGUGACCAAAACAGGACUUCCUAUAUAUAUAAUUCUUUACCUACGGACCAUUCCUGAGCUCCUCGUGACGUCCAGGAUCUCAUCCGGGACUCCGAACAACCUUCGAUCACCAACACCUAUAACUCAACUAUACUGAAACGUCAUCGAACCUUAAGUGUGCAGACCCUGCGGAUUCGAGAACUAUGCAGACAUGACCGAGAUACUCUCCGAUCAAUAUCCAAUAGCAGGACCUGGAUGUCCAUAUUGGAUCCUAUAUAUUCUACGAAGAUCUUAUCGGUUGAACCUCUAUGUCAAGGAUUCACACAAUCCCGUAUACCAUUCCCUUUGUCCUUCGGUAUGUUACUUGCCCGAGAUUCGAUCGUCGUUAUCGACAUACCUAUUUAAAUAUCGUUAGCAGCAAGUCUCUUUACUCGUUCUGUAAUACAAGAUCCCAUGGCUAACUCUUUAGUCACAUUGCUUUGCAAGGGUUGUUUCUGAUGUUGUAUUACCGAGUGGGCCCCGAGAUACCUCUCCGUUACACGGAGUGACAAAUCCCAUUCUUGAUCCAUGCUAACUCAACGGACACCUUCGGAUAUACGUGUAGAGCACCUUUAUAGUCACCCAGUAAUGUUGCGACGUUUGAUACACACAAGGCAUUCCUCCGGUGUCAGUGAGUUACAUGAUCUCAUGGUCAUAGGAAUGUAUACUUGACAUGUAGAAAACAAUAACAACAAAAUGACACGAUCAUAUGCUACGUUUAUAGUUUGGGUCUUGUCCAUCACAUCAUUCUCCUAAUAAUGUGAUCCCAUCAUCAAGUGACAACACUUGUCUAUGGCUAGGAAACCUUAACCAUCCUUGAUCAACGAGCUAGUCAACUAGAGGCUCACUAGGAACAUUGUUUUGUCUAUACAUCCGCACAUGCAUUUGUGUUUCCAUUCAAUACAAUAUAGCAUGGAUAAUAAACGAUUAUCUUGAAACAGAAAAUACAAUAAUAACUAUUUUAUUAUUUCCUCUAGGGCAUAUUUCCAACAUGUAUGUCAUAGACCGGUUAAUCAGGGAUGAUAGACUACUCAUAUCAAUAAGGAAUCCCUUCUUUUCCGGGAGCCCAUUGGGAAAGAACUCCCGAGCUAAGCGUGCUCAGCUUGGAGUAAUUUCAGGAUGGGUGACCAUGUGGGAAGUUGUUCCCAGGUGCGCAUGAGUAAGGACAAAGUGCGCAGAAAAAACUAGUUUGAUAUGUGGGGGCAGUCUAGAUCCCGACGGUGGUAACAACCAGUGGCGGGUAUCCCCGGGGCGGUACACAAUACUCCAAAGUGGUGGGAAGGAAGGAGGGUGCAAAUGUCUACAUGUUGAUUCCACCCUAACCUUUCCAAAUGUGGACCCCUCUUGAUAGUACGAAUUUCCUACGACUCAAAACCACCAAAAUGAAAUUGUCGGAAAGUAAUUGUCCUCUCUUUAAACACCGAGGGGAAUAAACCAUUUCGUGCCAUUUGGUAAUCUCUGAAAUUAUGGUUAGUCGGCAAAGUGCAUUGUCAUCAAUCACAAAAACCACUUAGGAGAAAAUGUGUUCUAACAGUUGUCAUGUCCAAAAUGGUCUUUUCCCCCUUUGGGAGACUGCAACUAUAAAUAGCCACCCCUUCCAACAUGAAUCGUUGGCUAUUUCAUGCAAUUCUUACAAGCUAUGUGAGCACCCUAGCACCUAGAAGAUUUGAGUUUAAAAUCCACCAAAAGAAAACCCAAAGCUAAAAAAUUAGACUGUAAUCGGUGGCUCAAAAAACACGAGCAUAUAUACAUGCAACUUGUUCGGUCGAUUCUCCCUUCGUUAACAUGAGUGUAAUCGGUGGCUCCCCAACUUUCCUAGCAACAUUUCCCGACUAACUUUUUCUUCUUCGUCUGACCAUCAGAAACACCUUUGAUUCUCGCCCAAACCAGAACCAUGUUCACUCUAUAGUCAGUUAUGUUUGUGAAUCCAUCAUACUCCGUAAUCACUACCGGUGCAUCCCCGAAUAUCCAUGGGUCUCCCUCCAUUAUUCUUCUCCAACCCCUUAUGCACUCACAUUGUACGAGGAACAUGUUUGGAUCUUUUGUAACAUUAAAAGUGACCCAUGGGAAGGACAACAUGUGUUGCGCAUGGCGUUGAGCACUGUUGCAUGGUUGAACGACCUGGUCAUCUGCAUCCUGAAUAUAGCCAACCAUCCAACCUCCUUGACAAAAUCAUUCGACGCUUUGAGAAGCUAUAAUGACUAAGAUGUGACCCUUUCCUUAUUUGGGGGCGAGGCCUCAAAAGGGGAAAGGGGCGCAUCUAUGUGUUUCGCAAACGGGAUAAUCAUCACAAUACAUAAUUAAAAGAGUAACAAGUAGGGCAUACACUUGCCAUCUGUUAAGAAUAUAGCAUAUAACUUACAUACACACAUUAUUCAGAGUAGCAGAAGGUCCAGCUACGGACUUAAACAGAAAACAGAUGAACUAAAACAUCCCGUAUGCUGGCCCAGGAUCACGACCACGGCCUCAGUCUUCCGGAUAGUUCACAUACAAACGGCCAGAGUCCUCGUCGAACUCCCACUUCAGCUGGUUGUCAUCAGGAUCUCCUGCAUCAGGCGUACCUGUACCUGUUGGGGUUUGUAGUAAUCUGUGAGCCACGGGGACUCGGCAAUCUAAUGACCUUGGUAUCGAAUCUAGCCAAGUUAUUAGGUGAGGAAGGUUUAGUGUAUGGGUUUGCCGCAACCUAAGCAUAUAUGGUGGCUAACUUACGAUGAUCAGAGUUUUCAUAUGGUGGUCUACACGAGCGAUCGAAGACUAGAUUGAUCUCUAAGUGAUCCUGAACACCUACCUACAUCAAAACAUAACCCCACCAUGUUCUCGAUCGAAGAGCGGUCUCCGAGGGAGACAGUCACGGUUAUGCACACAGUUGGCAGUUUUAUUAGAGUUACUUCAAGUUGUCUAGAACCGUAUGUUAACAAAAUAUCCACACUUGCCACAUAACCGCGGGAACGGCUUUCCGAAAGAUUAAACCCUACAGGGGUGCUCCAACUAGUCCAUCACAAACUGCCACGGGCCGCAAAGUAAUCUUCUAUCACGAAACUCGUGAUCUCGUCAGAUUCCUUAGAGGAAAACCUCAACUUUGAGGAGACCCAAAGUUUCACCGGAAUGCCUAUACGCAAGAUAUAUCGCUAAGGUAAGAUAAAUCUGGCAAGACCUCCUGCCGUGUCGACGAACCCGAUAGGAGCCGCGUAUCUCGUUCUCAGGACACGACGGAUUGUCCAAACUUCCAAUGGGCCAAUCACAGAGUUGCCCCUGGUAGCCACCGGCGGUUGACAGGUUGGACCAACACUCAUGAGGAGCACUGGCCCGGGUUGUUGAUUAAAUCCUCGGGGUAGCCAUCCCUAUGCAAAUUAUUAUUAGGUUAUUAGCAGAUUAAAACCGAUGUUGGGUCCUUCCAGACCAGCCUUAACACUACACGAUUUAUCAAGGGGGUCCCCAUAACAACCCCGAACGUGUUGGGAGCGAUCAGUUAUGGAAUCAAACACCCGUAACCGAAAACUAAGGCGGCAACAACGGAACAAAUCACCCGGCAAAAGGCUAGGCCUUCCGUUAUUUGCCAAGUAUGUAGGUGCAUUAAUUAAAUAGCAGUUUAAACAUAAUGAUAUCAAAAUACUCAUGUUAUCACAUGAGACAGCUGGCACCUGCAACUAGCAAAGCUACUCAUUAGAGGUUGAGCAAGCCUACUUAGCCAAACAACAUUUGCUAGGAGAGGGAAGUUUUUGGGGUUCAUGGCAAAGACAAGUGGCAUUUAUAUCAAGUGGUAGGCAACGAGCAUGUAACGAAGGAAACGUGAUUCUAAGCAUAACAAAGCUAGAUACGGUGUCAAGUCACAGUCAUCUUGCCUGUGAUGUCUUCAGCUUGGAACUGCUCUUGAUCUUCCUGCACGUACUCUCCAGAAUCCACGUACCCGCUCUCUGUUCCUGAUGCUACCCAAGAUAAGAUAACAGCCAAUGAACACCGGCAAAACAUAAUGCAACAACCAAUAUGAUGCAUGUGUGAAGAAGGAAGCAUGCAUCACUAUUCUAGUCACUUUCAUAUGCACUAGUUGAGUUAAUUGAAUUCUGGAUAGAACUUCAUAUUAAGUUAUCUUGACAUGCAUGAAUAUGGUAUGAACAUGUGCAUCACAAGAAAACGAUGCAAAAACAUAUAAAGAACAUAGAGAACGGAGUUACUGAUCAACCAAAAACUACAAAACAAGUUAUGGAGACUUACGGUUCAAAUCAACCACAAAAACACUCCAAUGGGCACUCCCUGGUAUUACCAGGUUGCCACAUGAUCAAGCAACAAAAUAUAAGUGGGGUGGUGCAUGGGAACACACCACACCAUCAACAAUGCCCACACAAGCUUCAAAUCAACACAAACAUGCAAUCUGUUUUCAACAACAACAUAACAAUUUGUCUACAAUAUUUAAAGUAGCUACAACCAUCUAAAAGGGUCAAACAAGAUAUGAGGCAGAAGCCAUCCAAAAGAUCUACAACCCUGAACAAGAAGCUAAUGCAAAGGAAUCACCCCUGAGCAGAUCUACAUGCACUAACUUGGACAAAAUAUCACAGAUUCUCGAACUUAGUGAAAAUCACAGAUUUUCACCAGCUCCUUAUGCUCUGAAGCAUUUUGGCAGCCUCCAAAAUGAUAUCUACAGGAAGUGCCUAAGCAUGAAAUUUAACAGGGAGCUAAACAAACAUAAAAGCUCACAAACUUUAGUUUGUUGCAUGGGCUGAUUCCCAACACACGAGCUAAUUCACACAAGACAACAUGAGAGGAAAAUAACAUCACAUUCCCAGACUUAGUGAAAAUCACAAGGUUUCACAAAUUUGUCAGUUUCAGCCAAGUGUCCACUUUGACAGGGCACAAUAGGUGCAUACAAAUUCCUAAGAACAAAACAAAGACCCCACGUUGUAGAGAGGUUCACCCACUAUCAUUCCAUCAAGGAAUCAUCCACAAAGGGCCAUAGCACCGCCUAAUGUAAGGCUCUAAACAUGGCAUCAUAUCAGAAAAUAAUAGUUUUAUGAAGUUGCUCUAAAGUGAAAUCUGAUUGCACCAAUGGAUUCCUGGGAUGAUUCUACCCCAAAAUCAUAUAUAAUACAUGGAUACUUGCAUGUAACAAUAUUGCACAGAGCUAGCUCGAAAAUAUCACUUAGAAUCCUAUAAACUACAAAUGACUAUCAUCACAUGUGAAAACUAGCACAUAUAGCAUCACCUACACAUGCACAUCACUAGGGCUAGAACAACCCAACUAGGCAUAGCAUGGAAUCACUAACAUGUCACACCAACAUAUAUUGAUAGGUGUUCAUCCACAAACACACACACAUGUGCAACACCUACACAUGCACUCACACAAGCACUACUCACUCCACCACAUUACUAAUGGCAAACAUGAGGGAUUAGGCCCUCAUGCACAAGUGCAUGGACACUCAUGCACACACACACACACAUUCAUGUGCACACACACACUCACAUACACAUGCACAUGCACUCAUGUGCACACACAUACACUCACAUACACAUGCACAUGCACUCAUGUGCACACACAUACACUCACAUAUACUCUAGGCCUCAAAAGAAAUAAAACACACCCCCUGGUUUUUUUAAAAGAAACAAAACAACAAUAUGCAGCAAAAGAAAAGAAAAAGAAAAAGAAAACAAAGGAAAACAAAAAGCGGAGGCCCUGGGGAUCGAACCCACAACCCCUGGCAUACCCACACACACUCACACCACCACGCUACAGCAUCGGCGCUUGACUUAGAGAGGGAUGCAUGCAAGCUAAUCUCUCUGGCAUUGCACCUGCCUCUAGGCGAAAUAACAGAAAAAUAAAAGGGUGUCCCGAGGGACUCAAACCCACAACGCACGGCUCGGUUCCACUGCGCUACGGUAAGGAAUCUUACCAGAGAGGGGGAGCGUGCUCUAUUGAGCAACCCCUCUGCAACUAACCUACCACCACACGGCGGCCGGAAUAGGGGAGAUCGACGGCGACACAACGACGGCUAAUCCCUAAUGGCUAGCACCACGAGGGGGAAGAGGGAGCCCUGGGGGUUCCAUUCCCGCGCCUAACUAGGCAAGAGGACGGCUGCAUCGGCGGUGCAACGGAGCUGCUGCUCCUGGCCAUGGCAGAGCACGGCGACGACGACAACUACGCUACGACGAGCAAUAGCUCUACGACGAGGGAAAAGGAAGAAGGAGGAGGUACUGCUCACCCCAACGCGUCGAGGAGGAGAAGGAGGCUCGACGAAGAGGAAGAAGAGGUGAUGCGACGCGACCCUCUGCUCCUUCCGCCCGCGACGACGACGGCGAGGAGGGGCCGACAAAGGAAGGGACCCCCCCCUUCCUAGCGAUGGGAAUGGAUCGAGGGAGGAUCCAGCAUCCUCCCUGUGUGCUCGGAUUCCACGGGGACGAACCGGCGACGAGGGGAGGGAUGACGGCGACGGGCGGCGCUCUCUGUGAACUCUCUGGAGCUUACCUGCAGAGGGAGAGGGAGCGAGAUGGGAACGAGGUGGCGGCGGAGGAGGAACCCUAGACGAGGGUCUCACAUGCCGAGGGGAUUAAAUAAGGGUCGAGGGGACGGCCUCGACGUCCGUGAAGCCACGGCGUCGAGCUCACUCUCUCACACACGUGACACACUCUCUGACGGAAAGGAGGGGAGAAAGGCAACGACGCCAGGAGGUGGAAGAGGGUCGCCCAGCGGGCCAGGUGCUUGAGAAGGAAAAGAAAGAAGGGGUGAGGCCCAGGUAAGAGGAGGGAGCCGAUCCACCUGGGCGCCUGCUAAAACAGAAAAGACUUAAAAGGGUUUUCCUUUUUCAAAUAAACCAAACAGAAAACAAAAUACCCAACUUACACAUGGGUUUUGAAAAUAAAAUAAAAACACCUAGGGCAUGAGGGAUUUAUGCCCUAUUUAAAAAAAUACAAAUCUGAUUUUUAGAACAAGUAAAUUAUAUUCAAAACAGGAUUUAUAAUGUUGUUUUUUAAUAAAAACCCCAAAUGACUUAAAGCUUUAAAACAACAAGACAAAUACCCCCUCAACCACAAAUUAAUACUCUAAAUGUAUAACAUUUUUAAAACACGUUCCCACAAAGUUUAACACACAAGUUCUAAUAACAAAAGGGAAGGCUUUGCCUUGUUUGAAAAGCAUUGAAGUUUGAAAGCAUGUUUGGAAGCAUUGUAUACAAACACCACAACACUCAUCACACCAAAGCAAAGCUAUCACAAUCAAUAUGGAGUUGAACACAAUGCACUUGAAAGGGAUGCCAUGAUGCAAGAUGAUCACAUGAGAUGAUCCACAUGAAAUGACAACUUUAUAACAUCCAAACAUGGUUCCACAACAUAGGAAAGGAUCCAAAUAUGGUAAGGAUUACAUCUGGGGUGUUACAGAAGCCUAGAUCCAUCUUCUCUUUGCCAUGAAAGAUCCAGUCCCUUGCCAUGAAGAUUCAGUCCCUCGAAGCAAUCUUUCAUGUUCUCAGCUGAUCGAUUUUGCUGUGCAUUUUUUUUAGGGAAGUCCACUCGUCCUUGGUUUUUUAGGGGUCUCAUCAUGGUAAUUAGGCGUUUUUUCUUUUUAAGAAUUGAUAAUUUUUUAGGCAAUUUGAGAAUUGGUACUUAGUUGUGGGGAAGUUGUUUUUGCGAAGUUUGAACCAUGCCCAAGCCCAUCUGGAAGGCCCAGGCCUAUACCGACAACCCUGAUGCUGCGAGUCUGCGACAACGCCUACCCCGUUCGAGCCAACCCAUACAAACUCAAACCCCCACGAAAACCCCUCUCUCAUCUCCGCUUCUUCCUCGCCGCCGAAACCCUAACCUAGCCGCUCGUCGCCGCCGCCGCCGCCGCCGCCCCAGCCGCCAUGUCGAACCCCAAGGGUUCGAAAAUGCUCCAGUUCGUCAACUACCGGAUGCGCGUGACCAUCCAGGACGGCCGCCAACUCGUGGGGAAGUUCAUGGCCUUCGAUC
Molecule: long non-coding RNA, 13390 nt
Filed under: Hordeum vulgare
Lineage: Eukaryota; Viridiplantae; Streptophyta; Magnoliopsida; Poales; Poaceae
Description: long non-coding RNA (HVUL_LNC004191)
Source: RNAcentral